RNAcentral lists this ribosomal RNA (1375 nucleotides) under uncultured bacterium. RNAcentral describes it as "bacterial SSU rRNA". It matches the Rfam family "Bacterial small subunit ribosomal RNA". The record is from RNAcentral.
AGAGUUUGAUCCUGGCUCAGAACGAACGCUGGCGGCGUGGAUAAGACAUGCAAGUCGAACGAGAGAAUUGCUAGCUUGCUAAUAAUUCUCUAGUGGCGCACGGGUGAGUAACACGUGAGUAACCUGCCCCCGAGAGCGGGAUAGCCCUGGGAAACUGGGAUUAAUACCGCAUAGUAUCGAAAGAUUAAAGCAGCAAUGCGCUUGGGGAUGGGCUCGCGGCCUAUUAGUUAGUUGGUGAGGUAACGGCUCACCAAGGCGAUGACGGGUAGCCGGUCUGAGAGGAUGUCCGGCCACACUGGAACUGAGACACGGUCCAGACACCUACGGGUGGCAGCAGUCGAGAAUCAUUCACAAUGGGGGAAACCCUGAUGGUGCGACGCCGCGUGGGGGAAUGAAGGUCUUCGGAUUGUAAACCCCUGUCAUGUGGGAGCAAAUUAAAAAGAUAGUACCACAAGAGGAAGAGACGGCUAACUCUGUGCCAGCAGCCGCGGUAAUACAGAGGUCUCAAGCGUUGUUCGGAAUCACUGGGCGUAAAGCGUGCGUAGGCUGUUUCGUAAGUCGUGUGUGAAAGGCGCGGGCUCAACCCGCGGACGGCACAUGAUACUGCGAGACUAGAGUAAUGGAGGGGGAACCGGAAUUCUCGGUGUAGCAGUGAAAUGCGUAGAUAUCGAGAGGAACACUCGUGGCGAAGGCGGGUUCCUGGACAUUAACUGACGCUGAGGCACGAAGGCCAGGGGAGCGAAAGGGAUUAGAUACCCCUGUAGUCCUGGCAGUAAACGGUGCACGCUUGGUGUGCGGGGAAUCGACCCCCUGCGUGCCGGAGCUAACGCGUUAAGCGUGCCGCCUGGGGAGUACGGUCGCAAGGCUGAAACUCAAAGAAAUUGACGGGGGCCCGCACAAGCGGUGGAGUAUGUGGUUUAAUUCGAUGCAACGCGAAGAACCUUACCUAGGUUUGACAUCUGGGGAACCCUCCCGAAAAGGAGGGGUGCCCUUCGGGGAGCCCCAAGACAGGUGCUGCAUGGCUGUCAUCAGCUCGUGUCGUGAGAUGUUGGGUUAAGUCCCGCAACGAGCGCAACCCCUAUGCAUAGUUGCCAGCAGGUAAAGCUGGGCACUCUAUGCAGACUGCCCGGGUUAACCGGGAGGAAGGUGGGGACGACGUCAAGUCAUCAUGGCCCUUACACCUAGGGCUACACACGUACUACAAUGGCACGCACAAAGGGCAGCGAUACCGUGAGGUGGAGCCAAUCCCAAAAAACGUGUCCCAGUCCGGAUUGCAGUCUGCAACUCGACUGCAUGAAGUCAGAAUCGCUAGUAAUUCGAGGUCAGCAUACUCGGGUGAAUGCGUUCCCGGGCCUUGUACUCACACCGCCCGUCA